ACCUAAUUGGUAUGAGUGAAGCACAACAGGAGAUAGCAGCUAAAUUUGUAUGCAAGAGUCAGGAUAAGAAGUAUGACACUGACAGUGAAAGCAGAAAACAGCAAGCCAACAGUUCAGGACUAGUCAUUCGAAUGGACUAAAGUUCAGUGUACUCUUCCUGGAAAAUGCUUCUUCAAACACUAUGGUUUCAGUGAAGUUAUAAAUAAUAUCAUGUAUCUUAUCAACUGCAGUCCCCUCUCCUGCCUUUAGUCUCCAAGAUAAAUACAGAAUAUAAAAAAGGGUGUUCUUGUCUGUUUUUAAAUUUUAACAAAUCAGCAGCUGGCGGUUUUCUUGGUGCCUAUCUAGCAAAAAAGGAUGAUCGAUGUCCUACAACUUUGCUUCAGGUCCUGGGCUGCUGCAUGUAAACCAUGUGAAUUCCCACAGCCAUCCAACACAUCAAUCCCCUGACAACAUAUGGGAAAUGUCAACUGGAAAUGGAGAGGUUUCCACUUGGAUCAGAAAUACUCCUGGAGUUGUGGAGGCUGAGAUGUCCAGGAUCAAGGGGCAACGUCCAGUAAGACCUUUUCUGCUGGCAGGGAUAGUGAUGAAUCCCAGGGCUGAACAGGUAAUAUGUUAAGUGGUAAGUGGGCUGAGCAUGCUAGCUCAGGUUUCUUUUAUUUUUAUUGUUUUUAUUUUUAUUGAUUUUUAUUCCAAUGAUUUCUGGAGAAAAAGUGGUGUUUGGUUACAUGGGUGAGUUCUUUAGUGGUUAUUUUGAACAUUUUGUUGCACCCAUCAUUCAAGCAGUAUAACUGUGCCCAAUGUGUAAUCUUUUAUAUCUUACCCCUCCCUCCUUUGUUUCUGAAUCCCUCAAGUCCAUUUUAUCA
RNAcentral lists this long non-coding RNA (863 nucleotides) under Aotus nancymaae (Ma's night monkey). Its description in RNAcentral is "lncRNA (ENSANAG00000039462.1)". Lineage: Eukaryota; Metazoa; Chordata; Mammalia; Primates; Aotidae. The record is from RNAcentral.